UACGAGUGCCUCGAGCGUUAUCCGGAAUUAUUGGGCGUAAAGGGUUUGUAGGUGGUCCUGUUAGUCUUUCGUGAAAUCCCCCGGCUCAACCGGGGGCCCGCGAGGGAAACGGCAGGACUUGAGGGUGUAAGAGGUCUCUGGAACUCAUGGUGUAGCGGUGAAAUGCGUUGAUAUCAUGGGGAACACCAAAAGCGAAGGCAGGAGACUGGGACAUACCUGACACUGAAAAACGAAAGCGUGGGUAGCGAAUGGG
This 253-nucleotide ribosomal RNA is filed under the name uncultured bacterium. RNAcentral describes it as "partial 16S ribosomal RNA". It matches the Rfam family "Bacterial small subunit ribosomal RNA", at positions 524 to 776 of the family's 1533-position model. The record is from RNAcentral.